Molecule: long non-coding RNA, 665 nt
Organism: Mugil cephalus (flathead mullet)
Lineage: Eukaryota; Metazoa; Chordata; Actinopteri; Mugiliformes; Mugilidae
Exons: 2
Source: RefSeq, a predicted model, not a curated record
AAGGAGGGGUGUGUCUGUGAGACAGUAGACUGAAACACACACAAGGAUCACUGUUAGAGUCAGUGGGCUGCUUUUACAGUGAGCAGCUAACUGUUUUUAAAUCGUGCCAGAGCUGCCGGGGGGAUUUCGCUCAGAGAGGAGCCUGAGCAGUUGGAUCGCCCAAGAAUUCACAGAGACCUGAGCAGAAAUCUUUUCCUUUUUUUUUUUUUAAUUUGACUCCUCUGCCCACAUUGGUGAUGUUUUGGAUUCACCUCUCCUCCACAAACAGCUGGUUAGCACACCCUGCUGGCUGCACCGUGGAGCCUGGCACCACUCGCGUCGGAGGAAAAGAUUAGUAGCUCAUCAAUACGACAGAGACGCCCCAGAGAGAAAGCAUCUCCACCACCCCGGAUGUAUCAGAUGCUGGCUGGCCAGAGCUGCGGUGCAUUGUAGUUGCAUUGCAUGUCAGCCUAACUCAAUGCAAUGGAUCUGCUUUGCAGCACAGAACUUGGUUCCAAGACGACAAUUGCACACGAUCCCUUGUUAUAAACCUGUAGGCGAAGUUCACCAGCCCUGCUUUUAACCAGAAUGAGAAAGGAUGCAGCUAGAGUUGGUCAGCCGCUCUCAUGCUGAAUGAUGUUUAUUUAACUUAUGUGUUCAGAUUAAAACCUAUUUUGUGAUCGGUG